This 402-nucleotide unclassified non-coding RNA is filed under the name soil metagenome. RNAcentral's name for it is "partial contains 5.8S ribosomal RNA, internal transcribed spacer 2, and large subunit ribosomal RNA". The stretch from base 1 to 121 matches the Rfam family "5.8S ribosomal RNA", at positions 35 to 154 of the family's 154-position model. The record is from RNAcentral.
GAUGAAGAACGUAGCGAAAUGCGAUAAGUAAUGUGAAUUGCAGAAUUCAGUGAAUCAUCGAAUCUUUGAACGCACCUUGCGCCCUUUGGCUAUUCCGAAGGGCAUGCCUGUUUGAGUAUCGUGAACACCUCAACUCUCAUGGUUUGCCAUGAUGAGCUUGGACUUUGGGGGUUUUGCUGGCCUUUGGUCGGCUCCUCUCAAACGGAUCAGCUUUCCAGUGUUUGGUGGCGUCACGGGUGUGAUAACUAUCUACGCCUGUGGUUUUCUGCCAGAUAACCUUCAGCGAUGGAGGUUCGCUGGGGCUCAUAAAUGUCUCUCUUCAGUGGAGACAGCUUUUUGGACGUUUGAUCUCAAAUCAGGUAGGACUACCCGCUGAACUUAAGCAUAUCAAUAAGCGGCGGA